RNAcentral lists this ribosomal RNA (456 nucleotides) under Lachnoanaerobaculum saburreum. RNAcentral describes it as "bacterial SSU rRNA". It matches the Rfam family "Bacterial small subunit ribosomal RNA", at positions 28 to 475 of the family's 1533-position model. Lineage: Bacteria; Bacillati; Bacillota; Clostridia; Lachnospirales; Lachnospiraceae. The record is from RNAcentral.
GAUGAACGCUGGCGGCGUGCUUAACACAUGCAAGUCGAACGAAGCUGUUAAAAGGAAGUCUUCGGAUGGAAUUUUAACAGACUUAGUGGCGGACGGGUGAGUAACGCGUGGAUAACCUGCCUUAUACAGGGGGAUAACGGAGAGAAAUUUCCGCUAAGACCGCAUAAGACCACAGCACCGCAUGGUGCAGGGGUAAAAUAUUAAUAGGUAUAAGAUGGAUCCGCGUCCGAUUAGCUUGUUGGUGAGGUAGAGGCUCACCAAGGCGACGAUCGGUAGCCGGCCUGAGAGGGUGAACGGCCACAUUGGGACUGAGACACGGCCCAAACUCCUACGGGAGGCAGCAGUGGGGAAUAUUGGACAAUGGGGGAAACCCUGAUCCAGCGACGCCGCGUGAGUGAAGAAGUAUUUCGGUAUGUAAAGCUCUAUCAGCAGGGAAGAAAAUGACGUACCUGACUA